Small nucleolar RNA from Bison bison bison, 87 nucleotides. Lineage: Eukaryota; Metazoa; Chordata; Mammalia; Artiodactyla; Bovidae. The record is from Ensembl.
AAUGUCUUUCACAUGACACAAAUCUGGGUUCAUGGUGACAAGGGGUACAAAACUUGCAGCCUUCCUAUGAACAAACACCCAACACAU